CAUCUCCCCUAUAAAUAAACCCCUCCUCUUCACAUUUUCUACACACCAAAACAUCAGCCAAAAGGCCCUCUCCUCUCCCUCUCCUCUCCCUCUCCAUCGAGCAAAAACAGCCCCAAGAAGAAUUCUCUUCUUGCACUUCAAGAAGCUCCCAUCAAGCCCCUUUCUCUCUCCUUCCUCUCUUCAAUUCCUCUCCAAGAGAAACUCCCUCUUCUUCAAUUCUGCUAAAAAUCUUCAAGAAACAGCCCCUUAACAUCCAUCAAACUCAGCCCCAAAGCCAUCCAAGAACAUCCAAGCCAAACCCGCCGAAAAUCCACCGAGCCUUUGGUUUUCUUACUCCUCCAUCUUCGAUUUCUUGCUCUUGGGUUCUCCAAGCUAUGUAGGAGGCCGGCGGAGAGGAGUUCGAGGAAUCACGAGCCUUGGUGCCUAGAUUAUUUUACUCGUAUUUUCUACGCAACGUUUUAUCGAAAAACUAAUCACAUAGUAUAAUAUUAUUUUGUACUCUGAUUGGAACCCAGUCUAUUAAACGGGGGUAUCUUAAAUAAAGUUUAUUUCCUUCCGCUGUCU
Molecule: long non-coding RNA, 564 nt
Organism: Erythranthe guttata (spotted monkey flower)
Lineage: Eukaryota; Viridiplantae; Streptophyta; Magnoliopsida; Lamiales; Phrymaceae
Source: RefSeq, a predicted model, not a curated record